CAGUUCUGCGGUUCCACAUCCCUUCCCCAGGGCUGCUCGAGGAUGAGCAAUUCUACAUCCUCGGGGUCAUCCAGAGCUGCCAGGCAGCUGAGCUCAGGGGGCUGCGAACCCUGAAGUGCUCCAAGCAGGAGACAGCCAAAGCCAUUUUGGACAUCUUGGGGCUCUUGGAGCACUUCAGGGAUCGCCCCCUGACCCUGGCCCUUGCCUUGGAGGCCCUCCUCCAGCUCAG
Zootoca vivipara (common lizard) is the source of this 229-nucleotide non-coding RNA. The record is from RefSeq and is a predicted model, not a curated record. Lineage: Eukaryota; Metazoa; Chordata; Lepidosauria; Squamata; Lacertidae.